Molecule: long non-coding RNA, 1720 nt
Filed under: Chinchilla lanigera (long-tailed chinchilla)
Lineage: Eukaryota; Metazoa; Chordata; Mammalia; Rodentia; Chinchillidae
Description: lncRNA (ENSCLAG00000025476.1)
Source: RNAcentral
AUUUAUUUAUCAUAGUUCCAGAGGAUGGGAAGACCAGAUUCAAUGUGUGGUGACGGCUGGCAUUCUGGUUUGCAGAUGGCCACCUGGUCCUUGUAUCCUUCCAUGGCAGAUAGCAGAAAAUAAGAGAAGAAGUUCUCAUGCCUUUUCAUAUAAGGACACUGAUUUGAUUGAUGAAGACUCCACCUCCAUGACCUAAUUACAUAUAUACUAUUUGUGCUCUCAACAAAGAAUAGAUGCCACAAGCUUUAUCAUUUCCGAGGGCAACAUUUACGUUGCUUCAUAGCAAGUAAACUGAGUUAUAACCUGCAUGUGUAUACUCCAUGACUAAUGAUGUUAAGCAAAGAAAAGCUUUGGUCCUAUGGGCGAGAAACUUCCCCAUUUGUCACUUUGACGGACAGAAGAGGUAUUUCUGAUUCUGCACCUAAAUAUUGUUUCUCUUACAACCUAAAAGAUCAACUGAAAAUAGCCAGCAAAAUAUACAGAGAAAAUGAGAGUACUUCCCGAAGAAAGCAAUGAGCAUAAUUUCGUUAUGUGGCCCAGUAUUCAAAGGUUAACGAAGCAUUUACCAAACAUACUUUACGUUCUGUGCGUUCUGCUACGUCUGGUGAUUCACAGACAAAUGCGUCCUAGUUCCUGUCUUAGAAUUUUGUCAUCUAAAUUAUUUUAUUCCAAUUAAGAUUUCUUUACUGUUGAAACUAGUGAAUUAUCUAAUUACUAAAAGCUAUUAAGCUGAUCUUUAUCCUACCUUAUGAUUCUUCACUUAAAUAGUGGCAUUUACAUAAAAUGGUAUGCAUAUGCAUGCGAUCAAAUAUGUUGAACUGGUUAAAGAAUGGGCUAAAAUUAUUUGAAGGCACUUAGCAUUAUUACAGGACAACAGAAAGGUUACAGUUCUUCAUGAACACUCAGUGGUAACACCGUGCUAGUGUCUCCCCUUGCUUUUUAUCAUUUCUCUACAUUUUAACGUUAUGUACCGUUCAUAGCUUCAUAACUAAUUUACAGGAAAGCAAGGCUGUGACAUUGUUGGAGGUAAUUUUCUGAUAUUUGCUUUUGUGUAAAGAAUAACGUUCCAGCGUCCUGUGUGUCUUGUCUUCGCUGCCUUCACUUACUCUUUCAUUUUUCAGUUUCCUCUUCCUUGUUUCUCUCUUCCCAUUAGCCUAGACGCGGACUAAAAAUGAGUCCUUGAGAAAAAGCACAGAAACAGUAAAUAAAUAAAGAAACCGAAACGGCUGCAACAAUACUUCCUCUACUCCUAUUCUCUCUCGCUUUUGAGAGACUUCUAAUGCUGAUGUAGUUAUUUUAUUUUAAACAUUAUGUGAAAGAACAUAUUAAAAAAUAAGUCUCUGCACUUACACCAUUCUUUGAGAUGUAUGCCGUCCUUUUCUUUUGGCACUUAAAUAAUUCAUUUGCACAAAGGAUCAUAACUACAAGUUGAUCGUAAUCUUAGUUGAUGAGACACAAUCCUCAUCCAUUCACGCAAGACAGCUCAUUGUCAUUGUUCUAUGCUUUCCGUCACCCUUACUCUAGAUCUCUGUUUUUCAAAGGCGCUCAUAUGAAUGCAUUCGGUGUAUCACAUCUCUGUUCAGAGAUGAUAAAAUACAUAUUUUUAAAUAAAAUAACGAGUGUAAAUUGAGCACUUACUAUGUGUUAGAAUGUGACCUGCACAGCAAUCAUAGUUAAAAAGCUGCAACAGCCCUGAGGCAAACAUUCUCAUCAUUUUUAU